This 270-nucleotide ribosomal RNA is filed under the name uncultured bacterium. RNAcentral describes it as "partial 16S ribosomal RNA". The record is from RNAcentral.
CUGCUGCCUCCCGUAGGAGUCUGGGCCGUGUCUCAGUACCAGUGUGGGGGACCUUCCUCUCAGAACCCCUAGACAUCGUCGCCUUGGUGGGCCGUUACCCCGCCAACAAGCUAAUGUCACGCAUGCCCAUCCGUCUCCGGAGUCGCCUCCUUUGGCCGAAAGAAGAUGCCUCCCCUCGGCCACAUGCGGUAUUAGGCCGGAUUUCUCCGGGUUAUCCCGCUGAAACGGGCAGGUUGCAUACGCGUUACUCACCCGUGCGCCGGUCGCCGG